GACGGGGGGUGCAAACGUUGUCCGGAAUCACUGGGCGUAAAGGGUAUGUAGGUGGAGUUGCAAGUCACUGGUGCAAACCUCUAGCUCAACCGGAGGAUAGCCCGUGAAACUGCACGACUCGAGUGUGGGAGAGGCAGAAGGAAUUCUCUGAGUAGCGGUGAAAUGCGUAGAUACAGGGAAGAACACCGGAGGCGAAAGCGUUCUACUGGAACACAACUGACACUGAGACACGAAAGCUAGGGGAGCGAAUGGG
RNAcentral lists this ribosomal RNA (253 nucleotides) under uncultured bacterium. RNAcentral's name for it is "partial 16S ribosomal RNA". It matches the Rfam family "Bacterial small subunit ribosomal RNA", at positions 524 to 776 of the family's 1533-position model. The record is from RNAcentral.